CUAGUCUUCAUUAUAUUCCUUAGAUAGUACCUUGCCGAGUGAUUCUAACCAUAAUUUUCCCUGUAGAGCAGAUGCAGUGCCUAACAAAUAGGAUAUCCUCUAGUCUGGACAGGAAAAGGCAGAAAUACACCUACAAUGUUAAGUUAGGUUCGUCCCAAUACUCUUCCUCCCUUAGGUAUAAAUUGGCCAACAAUUCGCAAAACCCCAGUUCUCU
Molecule: non-coding RNA, 214 nt
Organism: Pelobates cultripes (western spadefoot toad)
Lineage: Eukaryota; Metazoa; Chordata; Amphibia; Anura; Pelobatidae
Source: the annotation of a GenBank genome assembly